This 498-nucleotide ribosomal RNA is filed under the name uncultured Pseudomonadota bacterium. RNAcentral's name for it is "bacterial SSU rRNA". It matches the Rfam family "Bacterial small subunit ribosomal RNA", at positions 355 to 844 of the family's 1533-position model. Lineage: Bacteria; Pseudomonadati; Pseudomonadota. The record is from RNAcentral.
UGGGGAAUAUUGGACAAUGGGCGAAAGCCUGAUCCAGCCAUGCCGCGUGUGUGAAGAAGGUCUUCGGAUUGUAAAGCACUUUAAGUUGGGAGGAAGGGCAGUUACCUAAUACGUGACUGUCUUGACGUUACCGACAGAAUAAGCACCGGCUAACUCUGUGCCAGCAGCCGCGGUAAUACAGAGGGUGCAAGCGUUAAUCGGAAUUACUGGGCGUAAAGCGCGCGUAGGUGGUUUGUUAAGUUGAAUGUGAAAUCCCCGGGCUCAACCUGGGAACUGCAUCCAAAACUGGCAAGCUAGAGUAUGGUAGAGGGUAGUGGAAUUUCCUGUGUAGCGGUGAAAUGCGUAGAUAUAGGAAGGAACACCAGUGGCGAAGGCGACUACCUGGACUGAUACUGACACUGAGGUGCGAAAGCGUGGGGAGCAAACAGGAUUAGGAUACCCUGGUAGUCCACGCCGUAAACGAUGUCAACUAGCCGUUGGGAGUCUUGAACUCUUAGU